This 477-nucleotide ribosomal RNA is filed under the name Candidatus Scalindua brodae. Its description in RNAcentral is "bacterial SSU rRNA". It matches the Rfam family "Bacterial small subunit ribosomal RNA", at positions 365 to 832 of the family's 1533-position model. The record is from RNAcentral. Lineage: Bacteria; Pseudomonadati; Planctomycetota; Candidatus Brocadiia; Candidatus Brocadiales; Candidatus Scalinduaceae.
UUCGCAAUGCCCGAAAGGGUGACGAAGCGACGCCGCGUGGGUGAGGAAGGCCCUCGGGUUGUAAAGCCCUGUCAGGAGUUAAGAAAUGUAAGUACGCUAAUAUCGUAUCUAUUUGACAAAGGCUCCAAAGGAAGCCACGGCUAACUCUGUGCCAGCAGCCGCGGUAAUACAGAGGUGGCAAGCGUUGUUCGGAAUUAUUGGGCGUAAAGAGCACGUAGGUGGAUUUGUAAGUCAGAUGUGAAAGCCUUCUGUUCAACGGGAGAAUUGCAUCUGAAACUACAAACCUUGAGUAUAGGAGGGGAGAAUGGAACUUCUGGUGGAGCGGUGAAAUGCGUAGAUAUCAGAAGGAACGCCGGCGGCGAAAGCGAUUCUCUGGCCUAUUACUGACACUCAGUGUGCGAAAGCUAGGGGAGCAAACGGGAUUAGAUACCCCGGUAGUCCUAGCCGUAAACGAUGGGCACUAAGUAGAGGGGUUUU